This 302-nucleotide ribosomal RNA is filed under the name uncultured bacterium. Its description in RNAcentral is "partial 16S ribosomal RNA". It matches the Rfam family "Bacterial small subunit ribosomal RNA", at positions 508 to 809 of the family's 1533-position model. The record is from RNAcentral.
GCAGCCGCCGCGGUAAUACGUAGGUGGCAAGCGUUGUCCGGAAUUAUUGGGCGUAAAGGGCUCGCAGGCGGUUUCUUAAGUCUGAUGUGAAAGCCCCCGGCUCAACCGGGGAGGGUCAUUGGAAACUGGGAAACUUGAGCGCAGAAGAGGAGAGUGGAAUUCCACGUGUAGCGGUGAAAUGCGUAGAGAUGUGGAGGAACACCAGUGGCGAAGGCGACUCUCUGGUCUGUAACUGACGCUGAGGAGCGAAAGCGUGGGGAGCGAACAGGAUUAGAUACCCCCGUAGUCCCUGUCUCUUAUAA